RNAcentral lists this ribosomal RNA (388 nucleotides) under uncultured bacterium. RNAcentral's name for it is "bacterial SSU rRNA". It matches the Rfam family "Bacterial small subunit ribosomal RNA", at positions 28 to 417 of the family's 1533-position model. The record is from RNAcentral.
GACGAACGCUGGCGGCGUGCUUAACACAUGCAAGUCGAGCGGUAAGGCCCCUUCGGGGGUACACGAGCGGCGAACGGGUGAGUAACACGUGGGUGACCUGCCCUCAGCUCUGGGAUAAGCCUGGGAAACUGGGUCUAAUACUGGAUAUGACUCCACGGUGCAUGUCGUGGGGUGGAAAGCCUUGUGCGGCUGAGGAUGGGCCCGCGGCCUAUCAGCUUGUUGGUGGGGNGAUGGCCUACCAAGGCGACGACGGGUAGCCGGCCUGAGAGGGCGACCGGCCACACUGGGACUGAGACACGGCCCAGACUCCUACGGGAGGCAGCAGUGGGGAAUCUUGCGCAAUGGGCGAAAGCCUGACGCAGCGACGCCGCGUGAGGGAUGACGGCCU